UAUAAACAAAGCAUCAGGCUGUCUUUGAGAUUUCACAUGAACAACGGUUAAAGUUACUCAGGCUACCGAAGAAUACCAUAAUUCCUCUGUUGAAUUAGGCCUAAGCGACGCACCCCAAGCUUCCAUCCUUAACCAACAGUGAAUCAGUCGUGCUAUUAACGUCAUCACUACACAAUUUCUUAGUAAAACCAAAAUGAAUUAAACUGCCUUGUUUUCUUUUUGCCAUGGCUAUAUGAUGCUAACUGCAGAAUAGAUUUAAAGGACUUUGCGCGCCGAUUAAUGGCCUCCAACAUUUAUAUUUUUUCUACGAAUCUUUGUGUUAACAUGUACUAAACAUGAGUUGAAUUUGCACCGCAGUGCCGCCACGCCUUGAUGCUCAUGACAAGAAUAGCACCUUUAGUGAAUUAGGUUUAAAUUGCCGUCAAUGAUAUUUUUGCAAUUUUACACAUAACAAUCCACGAUGAUCACAUUACACAAAACUGAAAUUGCACGUCAAAAUGACACACUGUUAAUAUUUUUAGAGAACCCCCCCACCCAAAUAUUUCACAAAUCACGUUUUCAGG
Sander lucioperca (pikeperch) is the source of this 563-nucleotide long non-coding RNA. RefSeq lists it as uncharacterized. The transcript is spliced from 3 exons. NCBI's taxonomy places the organism in Eukaryota, Metazoa, Chordata, Actinopteri, Perciformes, Percidae. The record is from RefSeq and is a predicted model, not a curated record.